RNAcentral lists this ribosomal RNA (292 nucleotides) under uncultured bacterium. RNAcentral's name for it is "partial 16S ribosomal RNA". It matches the Rfam family "Bacterial small subunit ribosomal RNA", at positions 505 to 796 of the family's 1533-position model. The record is from RNAcentral.
GUGCCAGCAGCCGCGGUAAUACAGACGGUCCAAACGUUAUUCGGAAUCACUGGGCUUAAAGAGUUCGUAGGCGGUCAGGAAAGUGGGGUGUGAAAGCCCUCGGCUCAACCGAGGAACUGCGCUCCAAACUCCCUGACUCGAGGAGGCUAGAGGUAAGCGGAACUGAUGGUGGAGCGGUGAAAUGCGUUGAUAUCAUCAGGAACACCGGAGGCGAAGGCGGCUUACUGGGGCCUUUCUGACGCUGAGGAACGAAAGCUAGGGGAGCGAACGGGAUUAGAUACCCCGGUAGUCC